Small nuclear RNA from Psammomys obesus (fat sand rat), 107 nucleotides. Lineage: Eukaryota; Metazoa; Chordata; Mammalia; Rodentia; Muridae. The record is from RefSeq and is a predicted model, not a curated record.
GUGCUUGCUUUGGCAGCACAUAUGCUAAAAUUGGAACGAUACAGAGAAGAUUAGCAUGGCCCCUGCACAAGGAUGACAGGGAAAUUUGUGAAAUUUUUGAAUUUUAU